Molecule: ribosomal RNA, 433 nt
Filed under: uncultured bacterium
Lineage: Bacteria
Description: partial 16S ribosomal RNA
Rfam family: Bacterial small subunit ribosomal RNA
Source: RNAcentral
AGCGAACGCUGGCGGCAGGCUUAACACAUGCAAGUCGAGCGGACCUUUCGGGGUCAGCGGCGGACGGGUGAGUAACGCGUGGGAACGUGCCUUCCGGUUCGGAAUAACCCUGGGAAACUAGGGCUAAUACCGGAUACGCCCUUAUGGGGAAAGGUUUACUGCCGGAAGAUCGGCCCGCGUCUGAUUAGCUAGUUGGUGGGGUAACGGCCUACCAAGGCGACGAUCAGUAGCUGGUCUGAGAGGAUGAUCAGCCACACUGGGACUGAGACACGGCCCAGACUCCUACGGGAGGCAGCAGUGGGGAAUAUUGGACAAUGGGCGCAAGCCUGAUCCAGCCAUGCCGCGUGAGUGAUGAAAGCCUUAGGGUUGUAAAGCUCUUUUAUCCGGGACGAUAAUGACGGUACCGGAGGAAUAAGCCCCGGCUAACUUCGUG